This 496-nucleotide ribosomal RNA is filed under the name uncultured bacterium. Its description in RNAcentral is "partial 16S ribosomal RNA". It matches the Rfam family "Bacterial small subunit ribosomal RNA", at positions 28 to 506 of the family's 1533-position model. The record is from RNAcentral.
GAUGAACGCUGGCGGCGUGCCUAAUACAUGCAAGUCGAGCGAACGGACGAGAAGCUUGCUUCUCUGAUGUUAGCGGCGGACGGGUGAGUAACACGUGGAUAACCUACCUAUAAGACUGGGAUAACUUCGGGAAACCGGAGCUAAUACCGGAUAAUAUUUUGAACCGCAUGGUUCAAAAGUGAAAGACGGUCUUGCUGUCACUUAUAGAUGGAUCCGCGCUGCAUUAGCUAGUUGGUAAGGUAACGGCUUACCAAGGCAACGAUGCAUAGCCGACCUGAGAGGGUGAUCGGCCACACUGGAACUGAGACACGGUCCAGACUCCUACGGGAGGCAGCAGUAGGGAAUCUUCCGCAAUGGGCGAAAGCCUGACGGAGCAACGCCGCGUGAGUGAUGAAGGUCUUCGGAUCGUAAAACUCUGUUAUUAGGGAAGAACAUAUGUGUAAGUAACUGUGCACAUCUUGACGGUACCUAAUCAGAAGGCCACGGCUAACUACGU